CCUAAGCUGAGCCGGUUAGGUCUCGUGGCGACAGGAACCCGGUGCGACUCCGGGGCGGUUCCGCCACUGUGAGGGUCCCGGCCACGCCCGGGCCCGAGCCAGACACUGGUCACGGGGCAUCCGACCGC
RNAcentral lists this non-coding RNA (128 nucleotides) under Mycobacterium sp. Lineage: Bacteria; Bacillati; Actinomycetota; Actinomycetes; Mycobacteriales; Mycobacteriaceae. The record is from RNAcentral.